This 485-nucleotide ribosomal RNA is filed under the name Mileewa alara. RNAcentral's name for it is "partial large subunit ribosomal RNA". The stretch from base 372 to 485 matches the Rfam family "Bacterial large subunit ribosomal RNA", at positions 2473 to 2586 of the family's 2925-position model. Lineage: Eukaryota; Metazoa; Arthropoda; Insecta; Hemiptera; Cicadellidae. The record is from RNAcentral.
UAAAAGUAUUUUCUGCCCUAUGAUUUAAAUUUAAAUGGCUGCAGUAUUUUGACUGUGCAAAGGUAGCAUAAUAAUUAGUCUUUUAAUUGAGGACUGGAAUGAAAGGAUAUAUGAAAAGUAUUUUUUAUUAUUUUUAUCAUUAUAAUUUUAUUUUUGAGUAAGAAAGCUUAAUUUUGUUUUAGGGACGAAAAGACCCUAUAGAACUUUAGUUAUUAAAUUAUUUAAUUAGAUUUUAGUAUAUAUAUAAGUUAUAUUUUUAAUAUUUUAAUUGGGGGGAUUAGUAAAUUUAAACUUUAUUUUUUUUAUUCAUUUUAUUUAUGAUUGUUAUGAUCCAUUAUUUAUUUAUGAUUAAAAGAUUAAGUUACCUUAGGGAUAACAGCGUAAUUUUAAUGGGGAGAUCAUAUCUAUAUUAAAGUUUGCGACCUCGAUGUUGAAUUAAGAAAAGUUUAAGGGGGAGUUUCUUUAAUUACUAAGUCUGUUCGACU